UUGAUAAUUGUUUGGAAACAUAGAUAACAAUAUUUUUAAACUUCUUUUUAUUCACACAUUUAGUCAUUGCAUUUACAAUAAAUUAAAUUCUUCCUUUUUGUAUUUCUUUUUAUUUACGGAUUCUGUCAAUGCAUUUAAAAUAAAUUAAAUUUAAUUAUAAUUCCAAAGCUUAUCUAACCAAAUCGAUAUUCAUAUAUUGACCAUUAUUAAUAGUGCGUGAAUAUUAACUAAAUCACAUGUAUUAAAGGGAGAGAACUUUUUUUUUUAUAUUACAUCAAAUUGUAUCAAAUUAUAUAUAUUUUUAAUAUAAUAUUAUGUAAACAUUAAAAAAUAAUAUUAUCAAACAUCUAUUAUAAAAUAAUAUAUUCUACACUAUAUGUAAAUUACAAAACAUAAAAAAUAUACAUGAGACUUUUUUUAUAAAACAUGUGGUUUAUGAGUUUACGUUGAACACAAGUUAAAUCAAACACAUGCGCGGAGAUACGGGUAAAGUUCUAGUUAAGAAUUAUGCAAGGGAAAUGGAGUCAUGUUUCUAACAUACUGUUGGUUCUUUUCACUUUUGAUCUUCUAACUUGUUUUUAUAAUAUUUCUAAAAACUUGUUUUUACAAAAUAUAAACA
This 619-nucleotide long non-coding RNA is filed under the name Brassica napus (rape). RNAcentral describes it as "long non-coding RNA (BNAP_LNC012931)". Lineage: Eukaryota; Viridiplantae; Streptophyta; Magnoliopsida; Brassicales; Brassicaceae. The record is from RNAcentral.